UGGGGAAUAUUGCACAAUGGGGGAAACCCUGAUGCAGCGACGCCGCGUGAAGGAUGAAGUAUUUCGGUAUGUAAACUUCUAUCAGCAGGGAAGAAAAUGACGGUACCUGACUAAGAAGCCCCGGCUAACUACGUGCCAGCAGCCGCGGUAAUACGUAGGGGGCAAGCGUUAUCCGGAUUUACUGGGUGUAAAGGGAGCGUAGACGGCGUAUCAAGUCUGAUGUUAAAUCCAUCGGCUCAACCGGUGGCUGCGUUCUAAACUGCCGUUCUUGAGUGAAGUAGAGGCAGGCGGAAUUCCUAGUGUAGCGGUGAAAUGCGUAGAUAUUAGGAGGAACACCAGUGGCGAAGGCGGCCUGCUGGGCUUUAACUGACGCUGAGGCUCGAAAGCGUGGGGAGCAAACAGGAUUAGAUACCC
This 414-nucleotide ribosomal RNA is filed under the name uncultured bacterium. Its description in RNAcentral is "bacterial SSU rRNA". It matches the Rfam family "Bacterial small subunit ribosomal RNA", at positions 355 to 787 of the family's 1533-position model. The record is from RNAcentral.